This 185-nucleotide ribosomal RNA is filed under the name Streptococcus sp. HMSC076C09. RNAcentral's name for it is "partial 16S ribosomal RNA". It matches the Rfam family "Bacterial small subunit ribosomal RNA", at positions 1 to 179 of the family's 1533-position model. The record is from RNAcentral. Lineage: Bacteria; Bacillati; Bacillota; Bacilli; Lactobacillales; Streptococcaceae.
UUUUAAUGAGAGUUUGAUCCUGGCUCAGGAUGAACGCUGGCGGCGUGCCUAAUACAUGCAAGUAGAACGCUGAAGCUUGGUGCUUGCACCGAGCGGAUGAGUUGCGAACGGGUGAGUAACGCGUAGGUAACCUGCCUCUUAGCGGGGGAUAACUAUUGGAAACGAUAGCUAAUACCGCAUAAAAG